CCGGAUCUCAGAUCAAGUA
This 19-nucleotide ribosomal RNA is filed under the name Pseudo-nitzschia calliantha. Its description in RNAcentral is "partial large subunit ribosomal RNA". The record is from RNAcentral. Lineage: Eukaryota; Bacillariophyta; Bacillariophyceae; Bacillariales; Bacillariaceae.